GGAUGAACGCUGGCGGCGUGCUUAACACAUGCAAGUCGAACGAAACACCUUAUUUGAUUUUCUUCGGAACUGAAGAUUUGGUGAUUGAGUGGCGGACGGGUGAGUAACGCGUGGGUAACCUACCCUGUACAGGGGGAUAACAGUCAGAAAUGACUGCUAAUACCGCAUAAGACCACAGCACCGCAUGGUGCAGGGGUAAAAACUCCGGUGGUACAGGAUGGACCCGCGUCUGAUUAGCUGGUUGGUGAGGUAACGGCUCACCAAGGCGACGAUCAGUAGCCGGCUUGAGAGAGUGAACGGCCACAUUGGGACUGAGACACGGCCCAAACUCCUACGGGAGGCAGCAGUGGGGAAUAUUGCACAAUGGGGGAAACCCUGAUGCAGCGACGCCGCGUGAGUGAAGAAGUAUCUCGGUAUGUAAAGCUCUAUCAGCAGGAAGAAAAUGACGGUACCUGACUAAGAAGCCCCGGCUAACUACGUGCCAGCAGCCGCGGUAAUACGUA
RNAcentral lists this ribosomal RNA (503 nucleotides) under uncultured bacterium. Its description in RNAcentral is "bacterial SSU rRNA". It matches the Rfam family "Bacterial small subunit ribosomal RNA", at positions 27 to 529 of the family's 1533-position model. The record is from RNAcentral.